Small nuclear RNA from Mesoplodon densirostris (Blainville's beaked whale), 109 nucleotides. NCBI's taxonomy places the organism in Eukaryota, Metazoa, Chordata, Mammalia, Artiodactyla, Ziphiidae. The record is from RefSeq and is a predicted model, not a curated record.
AUGUUCACACUUCAGCAGCACAUGUACGAAAAUUGGAAUGAUACAGAGAAGAUUAGCAUGACCUCUGCAUAAGGAUGACAUGCAAAUUCGUGAAGUGUUCCAUGUUUAA